Molecule: non-coding RNA, 522 nt
Organism: Xenopus laevis (African clawed frog)
Lineage: Eukaryota; Metazoa; Chordata; Amphibia; Anura; Pipidae
Source: the annotation of a RefSeq genome assembly
UGAGAGGGAUGUUGGUUGGUGUUUUGCAUAGAGACAUUGUGUGGCUAAACUGCAGCUGCUAUAAAAGUGCCAGUGUCCCUGUGCCAUAUUAAUGAUCUGUAUGUGUCACAGUGCAUAGAUAGAGACAUGUCUUAUCCCACUUAUCUACUGCUGCUGCUGGGGAUCCUCCUGAUCUUUAGUCAAGGUUCCUAUGGGCAGAUUGUAUUGACUCAGUCUCCAGAUUAUGUCUCUGUGUCACCAGGAGAAACUGUCACCAUCACAUGUAAAGCCAGUAGCAGUGUUGUAAGUGGCUCUUACAAUUGGUUAGCCUGGUACCAACAGAAAUCAGGGCAGGUACCAAAGCUGCUGAUCUAUUGGGCAAACACCCGACACACAGGGACCCCAGAGCGGAUCAGCGGCAGUGGGUCUGGAACUGAUUUCACUCUUACAAUCAGCAGAAUGGAAGCAGAAGAUGCAGCAGCUUAUUACUGUCAGUAUUAUUACAGUUCCCCUCUCACACAGUGAUACAGAGCUGAACAAAAA